CUCGCUCUAACGGGGCGCCCUGAUCCGACUGUCGGAAGAGGGGCUGAGAGGCGAAAGCCGACCCGCAGAACCUGAUCCGGCUUGUACCGGCGGAGGGAUUAGACGGCUCACUUCA
RNAcentral lists this non-coding RNA (115 nucleotides) under Rhizobium sp. RNAcentral describes it as "TPP sequence". It matches the Rfam family "TPP riboswitch aptamer (THI element)". Rfam says of the family: Vitamin B(1) in its active form thiamin pyrophosphate (TPP) is an essential coenzyme that is synthesised by coupling of pyrimidine and thiazole moieties in bacteria. The previously detected thiamin-regulatory element, thi box was extended, resulting in a new, highly conserved RNA secondary structure, the THI element, which is widely distributed in eubacteria and also occurs in some archaea. RNAcentral also lists the same sequence under 1 other name. The record is from RNAcentral. Lineage: Bacteria; Pseudomonadati; Pseudomonadota; Alphaproteobacteria; Hyphomicrobiales; Rhizobiaceae.